Molecule: long non-coding RNA, 365 nt
Organism: Daphnia carinata
Lineage: Eukaryota; Metazoa; Arthropoda; Branchiopoda; Diplostraca; Daphniidae
Exons: 3
Source: RefSeq, a predicted model, not a curated record
UGCUUUCUCGAUCAGAAGAAUUCGAGUUAUGAAAUGAAUACCUGAAUCAGGCAGAAUUGAGAAAUUCAUAGACAGCCACUGCCCAUUUCUUAAACAUCAAACUUUUCUUUUCUUCGAGCUUGAAUUAAUAAUGAAGAAACCAUGCGAAAUGUUUCGAGAAAUGUGGACCCAAUCGGCCAAAUUCAUCAUUGAAGCAGCAAAAACUACAAAUAAGAAACAAGUAGCAUCUCUAUUAUCGUCCAAACCUUUUCAGAACAUGUCGCCUGAAAUGUGUUCGAGAGCUGCUCUUGAAUUAUUACCAUUCUUGGUUCCUGGAAAAGGAAGAGGUAAUAAAGCAGCUCGACAUUUGGUCGAUUCCAGAAUGG